GGGGAGAGUAUCUCUCUGAAGCUUCCUGUGUACCUGAUGCCUUUGGAAGAAAGACAACUGCAAACAGUCUAUGUGAUUGCAAGAUUCAUGACUGAUGGCUGCCCUGGGUAACUGUGUGUCAUGCAGCACAGAAUCUGGCUGCUGGAGGAUGUGUUGCUGAAGAUGCUGGUAUUGAAGGUGAAGUCUUCCAUCAGAGGAGGAAAAACUCCACAGUGUUGUGCACUGCCACCAAAAUGCUGAUUACACUCUCUGUGAAAAUCAUGUAUUUUUAAAGCUAACAGAUACAGAAAAGAUGCAAGCAACUCUUGGUGUUGGCUAGCCCUUAACACCAGCUCCGGGAACACAAGCUCUUGGCAUGCAGUUAGCUGCUGAGUGUCUCCUGCCUUUGUCUUGCACCUGCAUCAGGGGACUGAUGGAAGCGGGACAAGGGACUCAGCACCUGGCUGUGAUGUGACUGAAAGCAGAACUACCAGCUGACUCUGCUACCUCGCUUCCCAAGUCCUCUCCAGGAUGCUUCUGAGUGUGCCGAGCAUGCAUAACUCUAGUCUGUCCUCACUGCAGCUCUGGUACCCUUUUCUCCUCCAUGUUGCUGGGGGAAAAACCCAACAAAACAGUGCCUCAGCUGCUCACCGUGCUGUGAUGAUUAGCAUUUUCACUGGCUUCCCAUGAGUUUCUCUAUGUGAGAGCAUCUGUACCCAUCCAUCACCUUCUGUAUGGGAAGGAGGAGGGCUGCUCAGGAACUGGCCUGAAGCACUGCCACCCUGAUUUAUGGAUUGGAGGGGUUAUCAGUCACCCUGGACAGGGAGGCUGUGACUCAGAGCUCAAAUCUAAUGCUGUGAGGGAGGAGGGCAGGUCAUCUACAGAACCUAGGGACCUGUUCCUCUCUGCCUUUUGUUGAAGUGUGUUUCCAGGUGAGUAGAAGAGCUGCUCUGCAGAAAGCAAGCCUAGAUGUGUGCUGGGAAAAGAUGCCUCUCUCCCCAUCAAGAGGGAAUAGAGUAGGUGUACCCUUCAAAGGAGACAUUUAGUCUGUAAGAAAUAUUCCCACACUAAUGAUUUCACCUUCCUGCCCCAACCGUAACCGUAAUUAAGUCGACCCAAACGAAGCAGGGUUCAUAUCUUUGAACUGUCUAGAGGCUUUGCUGAGUUCUCCACAGUCUUCAAAGACCCACAGAGCAGUUACUGACAACUGAAUCUGAUGAGGCACCGGGUGAGUCCUGAUGACACCCAUGCCAUGACUGCUGCAGGUUGCUCUUGUCUUUGGGUCACAGUUGUUAUUUUGUCCAUGACUUUUGAUGUGUUUCUGGUCUCUUCACCUCUUUGUAUCAUGGUUUCUCACCUCUAAAGAAUGGUGAUGCUUCACAGUUUAACAGGGCAUAGAAUUACAAGUAUUAGACUGUGAGGGUUUCAGAGCAGGAAAUAUCUGUCAUAGCUUCACAACAAUUAGCCACUCCAAGCUUGUAAGUAAUGCGCAUAGUUGCUACCUAUGUAUAUAAGCUGUCAGCUUUGGUUUAUUUUGAGGAAGCUUCCAGCCACAGAGUUAUUAAUAUGGUAUGUAGAGAUUUCUUCUAGUAAAUAUCUGUAGUUUUGUUCUCUUUAGUAGAUUGUUAUGACCAAAGUUUUGUACUCAUCUGCUGCCAAGUUUAGGAGUAAAGGCUCUCAAGAGGGGUAAUUCUGUGGGGGAAGAAAAGCAGUUUCUGGCUAAGUGUUGAGAAAUACUCUGCAAUCUGCUCAGGCUACUGAGUUUCAGAACUAUCAAAUAUUUGUAUCAAAUCAAUUAUGAACAGUGUAUGGAUCCCAACUUAUUUCCCAUGUGAUUUCAGUUCCUUUGAAGCAAGAAAUAAGUUUAUAAAAGGGAUGAUCAAUCAGUGCAUCACUGGGGAAGAGCAACGAAAACUCGCUGCAUUAUGCCUUUGGAACAAAUAGCACAGACCAGCUAGAGACUUUUAUGGAAUGGGAAGCUGCUUUCAGUGAGGGGGAGCAACUCUGGAGCACCUAAUACAGUUGUAUGAGGAAGAUAGGCACUGAAAUUUAGGAAAGCUUAAUAAAGAAGAUGGUAAGGGGAGUUUGCUUGUCUGUAUUCUAUUGGCAUCUUUGAAAUAACUGGAAAACCCAUCCCCAGGCAGCAACGUAAUUCAACUCUCACUGGAAUUCGGCUCUCACCAAUAAGUCCUGAUGCUUAAGGAGAAAAGCAAAGAACAAAAAACUGCCUUAAUUUUAUUGCGAAGUCUGUAAUUUGGUCAUACCCUUCAUGCAUUACGAAUGUCCUCUCCUCUUCCUUUGGAAUGCAGAACCCCUGUGGUUAGAGGUCCCUGUCCUCUGCCUGGGCUGGAAUGGCUGUUGUGGCAGCCUAUUGUUUCAGGUCUGAAUGUACAAAUGAUUGUCCAAAGACCUCUGUGAUGAAUAUGCUGCUGGAGGCUUCUGCUGUAGUGGGGUGCUCAGAGGUCGUGUGCUUUCCUUUCCUCACCAGCCUGAAAUCACACUGACUGUGAGAAGGCAGGAGCAGUUCCCCGGGUUCUUGUAGGAAACUUUAAAUGUACUCAGCUGCCAGCUUUCUUCCAAGGGGAAGAAGGGUUUGUGUGCAGGGAAGGUGGUCAGCUUACAUCACUGUAGCACCAGUGGUGAUUCCAGGACCAAGCCAGCCCUGGUACAGAAACAAGCAGGGUGUGGUAGUUUUAAGCCUCAUAGAGCUGUACAUCCUGAGCCCUGCAAGCAGGACAUGGAGCAUGUUGGCUACAUCUGCAGGAUGGUAGCUGUGGACCACCUUGGUGAUGAAAGGAGGGCAGAGAAACACCUCACGGUGAACAUCAGGUCUGCCUAGGAUCUGAGUGCUCCUCCAGGUUACGAGUUAAUACAAUCAUAGAAUCACAGGAUACCCUGGGUUGGAAGGGACCCACAAGGAUCACUGAGCCUAAUUCCUGGCUCCACACAGCACUGCCCAAACCCGAUGUCUGAGAGCAGCAUCCCAGCGCUCCCUGAGCUCUGGCACUGGGGCUGUGCCCACUGCCCUGGGCAUCCUGUUCCUGGCCUCUCCUCUGCUCUGGGCUGAGCAACCCCAGGGGCCUACGUGCUCCUCACACACCUUGUCCUCCAGACCCUUCUCCAUCUUUGUAGCCUUUCCCACGUUCACACUGCUAUCUGCCGAAGAUGUACCUAACAAGACUCUCUUUUGGCAAACCCUUCCAUGCCUACACUUGCAGAGGAGAAAGCAAGCCAGUAGAAAUUUGACCAUGUCUUUUCUUUUCCUGCCUUUUUCCUCUACUUGUCCCCUUUAAGGCCAAGUAGAUCACUACCAUACAGAUGAUCAUUACCUGCAGCAGGUAAAUUGCAGGAAGUAGAGCUGAAGAGAACUCAGAAGGUCACUCCUUGUCCCAUUGCCUCCAAGCAGCAUUAGCUCUCUGUAAUCUGUUCCAGCUUGCUUGCUCUUAAAAGCCAGCAGUGCCAGGUAUUGAGCACAGUAACAAGGAAGUCUCAGCCUUCUCUGGGAUUGAAAGCACUCUGUAAUCUAAGCUGCAUAAAUAUUACAUUUCUUUACCUUUCUAUAAACAGAUGUACAAAGGCUUGCAGGGAUUCUGCAGGUCUUUGUGUGGGGAAAAAGCAGACUGAGAUGUCUGGAGAGCAAGCACAAAGUGAAGGUGCAGAGCUCGGGCUGCAGGUGAGGAUGCGCUGGUCCCCUGCACAGCAGCUGGUAGCUCCCUGAAAUCUAAAGAUCAGUGGAGCUUUCUCAAUUGGGAAUCCAACCUUGUCUCUUUGACAUUACUUAUUUAUAAAGGACUCUGCUAUUUAAUAUCUUAGGGCUGCCACUGAAUUGAUCAACUGGCUGGUUCAGCAAAAAAAUAGAAGUUCAUUAACCCUCCUGGUGCUCUCAGUGUGGGAGUGCCCAGCUUGCAAUCUCUGCAAUAUUUGAGUAGGCAGCCACCCCAUCACAGCUGAUUUCUCCCGAGAGCAGUAGUCUAGCACACAGAUUCUUUUUGUCUUCUUCCCUGGACAUCAGCAGGGCCCAUUGAUUUACCACCGAAUAUCACUGCAGUGGGGAUAGUUCUCAGCCUAUACCCUGUGAUAAGACUUAAAGUCGUUUUGUUCAUUGUAUGAGGUGUUAUUUGUAUAAGAACAGGCUCACGGCUAGGGAUGGGAAGAUUGGGAGCCUUCUUUGUUCAUUGUAAAGGGAAGUGCUAACGACCUGGCGGUUGGGGGUACAGGCUGCGGACAAACAUCUUGAUCUUGUGACUACACUUGCAAGAACAUGAACAUCCUGUUUCGCCACUUCACCUCCCCUCUCCUAGAUUGAACAAACCAAGGACAAGGAAGACUGUGAUGACACCUAGCAACAGGGAAGCGCAGCCCAGAAGGCGAACAAACAUACUUGAAUCCACAUCAACCCGGAACUGAGGGACUAUAAAAGCUGGGAACCGCGGACAGAGUUUGCGCCAUUUUGAGGAGCUGCGACUCCUUGGCGCCCAGCGCCGCGUUUGCUUUUGUUUUUGCUUACUCAAUUAAUAAAACAUUU
Molecule: long non-coding RNA, 4504 nt
Organism: Numida meleagris (helmeted guineafowl)
Lineage: Eukaryota; Metazoa; Chordata; Aves; Galliformes; Numididae
Exons: 3
Source: RefSeq, a predicted model, not a curated record